This is an RNA transcript of Salvia splendens (bonfire salvia), 1656 nucleotides long. RefSeq lists it as uncharacterized. Lineage: Eukaryota; Viridiplantae; Streptophyta; Magnoliopsida; Lamiales; Lamiaceae. The record is from RefSeq and is a predicted model, not a curated record. The transcript has 4 exons.
UAUGAACGUAGAAAGGGUGUGAAGUGAGUAUAAUCAAAAUCCAUUAAUCAUCAGUCAUACAAAUGACAAAUUCAGUGGAAUUAAUUGAAAAGUACCUGUUUCCUCUGAACCCUUGAAUCUGUUGUUGAGAACGUCGAGUUUAGGGUGUGAGCGAGAAAUGAUUGUUUGAUUUGAUUGGGGUAAGGGAGAAGAAGAUUGAUAAUAAGGUUCAAGUUGUCGUUGCGAAGAGCAACCCCACAUGAGUGAGCGGAGCUCGAUCAGAGCUGCGGCGCUUCCAGUUCCAGUUCCAGUUCCAGUUCCAGUUCCAGCACAAUCGAUCAUAUAAUGCGUUGUGGUGGAUGUGGAUUGAGGUGGACAGAGAUUGAGGGUUGGAUGCGGGACUAUGACAACAUUCAGCGCCUCGCUAUCAAAUUGAUCUACGCUCAGAUUGUAUGCGCCUUAAUCGGAUCGCUGGGGGCGCUCUACAACGGCGUAUUGCUCGUCAAUUUGGGGAUUUCUUUGUUCGCACUCGUCGCCAUUGAGAGCAGCAGCCAGAGCCUCGCCAGGACUUACGCCGUCCUCCUCUUCUCCUCUAUUUUGCUCGACCUCUCCUGGUUCUUCCUCUUUUCUGACCAUAUCUGGAACAUUCCAUCUGAGAUUUAUGGAACCUUUGUUAGUUUAUCAGUGAAGCUCACACUAGCUAUGCAAAUUAUUGGAUUUUCAGUGAGGUUAUCAUCUUCACUGUUAUGGAUGCAGAUGUACAGACUAGGUGCUUCUUACAUGGACAACUCUGUUCAUAGAGAUACAGAUGUUGAUCUGAGAAAUAGUUUUCUCAGCCCUACAACUCCUUUACUUCGACGUCCCUCUGGUUCUGAUGAUGUAAUUGGAGGUUCCAUAUAUGAUCCUGCAUAUUAUUCUUCUCUUUUUGAAGAUGGCAGAGAUAAUGCUUUCCUGUGUGAGCUUUUCCAGGUACAUUGUAUUAGUUCCAAAGCAAACCAUACACUACCCUCAAUGGGCAUCUGCCUGUACUCUUGUUCUUUGAAUAUAUAUAAGCAAAUUUACCAAAGCUUUGAUUGAUAAUUUCUAUUUUUCUAUCUGCUUGAGGAUGGUAGGAGUUGUAUUCUAGGCUUAUCUUAAGCUUCUUCCACAAGACCUUCAAAAAUGGGAUAUAAACAUAGGGUUAGGAUCUCUAUCAGUAGUGGUAGUUUUUGUCACCUUAUGUAUGCAAAUAACCUCUGUGAAGCAAAGAUUUGCAAAAUAAAUAACAGCUGAUGUUUUCUUUGAAAAAAAUAAAAUGCAUCAUUUGGGAGAUACGAUCAACCAUCACAAAUAUUGGGUUCAUCUGCAUCCGAGGUAAUCUAAGACAAUCCGUGCUUACAUCGUCCCUUGAACUUGGUGGUUCCGGUCAUAGACUUUAUAACUCAAUCCUCAGUCAUUGCAUAAGUUUUAUCACUGCCAACAUGCCAUCUUAAGCCUCCAUGCUUCAAAUUCUUUUUUCCAUCUGGUGUACAAAUGGAGCAGAGCAAUAUAUCUUACUGCAGGCCAAACGUUGGGACAGCAUGAUAUAUGCCCUAUAAAGCUGGCCCAGCUCAUGGCAAUUCUGUAGGUAACUCUGAAUCUACUGCUGAAACUGUUUAUCCUAAUGCAUCUCCAGGGAAACCUUUUCAUUCUAAUGAU